GAUGAACGCUGGCGGCGUGCCUAAUACAUGCAAGUCGAGCGAACAGAUAAGGAGCUUGCUCCUUUGACGUUAGCGGCGGACGGGUGAGUAACACGUGGGUAACCUACCUAUAAGACUGGAAUAACUCCGGGAAACCGGGGCUAAUGCCGGAUAACAUGUUGAACCGCAUGGUUCUACAGUGAAAGACGGUCUUGCUGUCACUUAUAGAUGGACCCGCGCCGUAUUAGCUAGUUGGUGGGGUAACGGCCUACCAAGGCGACGAUACGUAGCCGACCUGAGAGGGUGAUCGGCCACACUGGAACUGAGACACGGUCCAGACUCCUACGGGAGGCAGCAGUAGGGAAUCUUCCGCAAUGGGCGAAAGCCUGACGGAGCAACGCCGCGUGAGUGAUGAAGGUCUUCGGAUCGUAAAGCUCUGUUGUUAGGGAAGAACAAAUGUGUAAGUAACUGUGCACAUCUUGACGGUACCUAACCAGAAAGCCACGGCUAACUACGUGCCAGCAGCCGCGGUAAUACGUAGGUGGCAAGCGUUAUCCGGAAUUAUUGGGCGUAAAGCGCGCGUAGGCGGUUUUUUAAGUCUGAUGUGAAAGCCCACGGCUCAACCGUGGAGGGUCAUUGGAAACUGGAAAACUUGAGUGCAGAAGAGGAAAGUGGAAUUCCAUGUGUAGCGGUGAAAUGCGCAGAGAUAUGGAGGAACACCAGUGGCGAAGGCGGCUUUCUGGUCUGCAACUGACGCUGAUGUGCGAAAGCGUGGGGAUCAAACAGGAUUAGAUACCCUGGUAGUCCACGCCGUAAACGAUGAGUGCUAAGUGUUAGGGGGUUUCCGCCCCUUAGUGCUGCAGCUAACGCAUUAAGCACUCCGCCUGGGGAGUACGGUCGCAAGACUGAAACUCAAAGGAAUUGACGGGGACCCGCACAAGCGGUGG
RNAcentral lists this ribosomal RNA (926 nucleotides) under Staphylococcus pseudintermedius. Its description in RNAcentral is "bacterial SSU rRNA". It matches the Rfam family "Bacterial small subunit ribosomal RNA", at positions 28 to 935 of the family's 1533-position model. Lineage: Bacteria; Bacillati; Bacillota; Bacilli; Caryophanales; Staphylococcaceae. The record is from RNAcentral.